This 963-nucleotide ribosomal RNA is filed under the name Drechmeria balanoides. RNAcentral describes it as "SSU rRNA". It matches the Rfam family "Eukaryotic small subunit ribosomal RNA", at positions 95 to 1067 of the family's 1831-position model. The record is from RNAcentral. Lineage: Eukaryota; Fungi; Ascomycota; Sordariomycetes; Hypocreales; Ophiocordycipitaceae.
GGCUCAUUAUAUAAGUUAUCGUUUAUUUGAUAGUACCUUACUACUUGGAUAACCGUGGUAAUUCUAGAGCUAAUACAUGCAAAUCAAUCCCGACUUCGGAAGGGAUGUAUUUAUUAGAUUAAAAACCAAUGCCCUCUGGGCUCUCUGGUGAUUCAUGAUAACUGCUCGAAUCGCAUGGCCUUGCGCCGGCGAUGGCUCAUUCAAAUUUCUUCCCUAUCAACUUUCGAUGUUUGGGUAGUGGCCAAACAUGGUUGCAACGGGUAACGGAGGGUUAGGGCUCGACCCCGGAGAAGGAGCCUGAGAAACGGCUACUACAUCCAAGGAAGGCAGCAGGCGCGCAAAUUACCCAAUCCCGACACGGGGAGGUAGUGACAAUAAAUACUGAUACAGGGCUCUUUUGGGUCUUGUAAUUGGAAUGAGUACAAUUUAAAUCCCUUAACGAGGAACAAUUGGAGGGCAAGUCUGGUGCCAGCAGCCGCGGUAAUUCCAGCUCCAAUAGCGUAUAUUAAAGUUGUUGUGGUUAAAAAGCUCGUAGUUGAACCUUGGGCCUGGCUGGCCGGUCCGCCUCACCGCGUGCACUGGUCCGGCCGGGCCUUUCCCUCUGUGGAACCCCAUGCCCUUCACUGGGUGUGGCGGGGAAGCAGGACUUUUACUUUGAAAAAAUUAGAGUGCUCUAAGCAGGCCAAUGCUCGAAUACAUUAGCAUGGAAUAAUGAAAUAGGACGCGCGGUUCUAUUUUGUUGGUUUCUAGGACCGCCGUAAUGAUUAAUAGGGACAGUCGGGGGCAUCAGUAUUCAAUUGUCAGAGGUGAAAUUCUUGGAUCAUUUGAAGACUAACUACUGCGAAAGCAUUUGUCAAGGAUGUUUUCAUUAAUCAGGAACGAAAGUUAGGGGAUCGAAGACGAUCAGAUACCGUCGUAGUCUUAACCAUAAACUAUGCCGACUAGGGAUCGGACGAUGUUAUU